GUGCUCGCUUCGGCACACAUAUACUAACAUUGUGAACGAUACAGAGAAGAUUAGCAUGGCCUCUGUGCAAGGAUGACAUGUAACCCCAAAACAAACAAACAAAAAAA
Suncus etruscus (white-toothed pygmy shrew) is the source of this 107-nucleotide small nuclear RNA. NCBI's taxonomy places the organism in Eukaryota, Metazoa, Chordata, Mammalia, Eulipotyphla, Soricidae. The record is from RefSeq and is a predicted model, not a curated record.